Molecule: ribosomal RNA, 494 nt
Filed under: uncultured bacterium
Lineage: Bacteria
Description: bacterial SSU rRNA
Rfam family: Bacterial small subunit ribosomal RNA
Source: RNAcentral
GAUGAACGCUAGCGGCAGGCCUAAUACAUGCAAGACGAACGGUAACUUUGAUAGCAAUAUUGAAGCUAGAGUGUCGUAAGGGUGCGUAACACGUAUGCAACCUGCCCAUAACUGGGGAAUAACCCGUCGAAAGGCGGACUAAUACCGCAUAACAAUGAUUGUCUGCAUGGACGAUUAUUUAAAGAUUUAUCGGUUAUGGAUGGGCAUGCGUUCCAUUAGAUAGUUGGUAGGGUAACGGCCUACCAAGUCUACGAUGGAUAGGGGUUCUGAGAGGAAGGUCCCCCACACUGGUACUGAGACACGGACCAGACUCCUACGGGAGGCAGCAGUGAGGAAUAUUGGUCAAUGGUCGAGAGACUGAACCAGCCAAAUCGCGUGAAGGAUGAAGGUAUUAUGUAUUGUAAACUUCUUUUGUCAGGGAAUAAAGUGCAUCACGUGUGAUGUUUUGUAUGUACCUGAAGAAUAAGGAUCGGCUAACUCCGUGCCAGCAGCCG